Molecule: long non-coding RNA, 1018 nt
Filed under: Strongylocentrotus purpuratus (purple sea urchin)
Lineage: Eukaryota; Metazoa; Echinodermata; Echinoidea; Camarodonta; Strongylocentrotidae
Description: uncharacterized LOC105440423, transcript variant X2
Source: RNAcentral
CGACCUUAUCUGUGACAACAUACAAUAUAGCUAGGCAACUUCGGUGCUGGACACGGUUUUCUGUAGAAAUCCUGAAAUAUACAGAGUGUAUUACCAUAUGCUUGCUUCUUUGAGUAUGUGCCUGAAACAAGAAUGUCCUGGAGAAAACGGACCACAACAAGAAAAGAGAUGGAGAGGAAGGGCUUGCUGUUGAGAGAUCAUGGGGUGCCUUGAGGUUCCACUUCCAGUCUUGAUGUUCUGCCCCUUACCUCUAAGCGAUGGCCUCUUGUGCCUGGCAAUAUAUGAGCGAAGCACAAUGGACUGGUGCCUGUACAUGUAAUGUAUUUCAUGCAAAUGAAGGGUAGAAUGAGAAGCUCACAAUGAUAUGGUAGACAAGGACCUUGCUGUCUAAAGCUCGGAGGCCAGAUGACAGUGUCUGAACCGGCUUGUCGGAAUUGCGUACAAGAAUGCCAUUGGACUUUUCUGUACUAGUAGCUGAAGGGGGGAGCAGUCACCAGAAGGAGCAUGCAACUCCAAAACAAUGUGGAUACUUCUACCGAGUUCAUCUCAAGAAUCAAGAUGUGACAGUGGAUGUACAUGUAGAGGGGUUUGUGACCCUCCUGACUGUGGACUACAUGCAAUACACAUCAAUGGAUUGUAGAGGAGUAAUGGUGGGUCCGGUGAGCUCAACUCUGGAGGUUAAGUUCGCAAAAUUAAUAAAUUUCCUUUUAAUAUGGGUGUAUAUGGUUCCAGGGAUUAAUUUGACGCAAUGCCUCGUAGUGACACGCCCUAUUAAGGGGCAACACACGUGUCAGAAGGUAUAAAAUGGGAAGCAGUUCCUGAAUUGGCACGAGCUUUUACUUUUCGGAUGACUUCCUCAUUUUGUUUCAUACCUCAUUUCCUUUGCCGCCAUGAGGUGCUAAAGUUUUAGCAGAGUUGGGGGCUUCCAGCAGAUAGAUGUGACUUUUCAUGAUUAUAUGUAAUAAAUUGUAAUAAAGUUACUAUCCACUUCAACACUUGACUCUUGUCGAGAAUUUUA